GCUAGGUGUGGUGGUGUGCACCUGUAGUCCCAGCUAUUUGGGAGGCUGAGGUGGGAGGAUCACUUGAGCCCAGGAGGUCAGGGCUGCAGUGAGCCACAAUCACAUCACUGCAUUCCAGCCUGGGCAACAGAGUGAGACCCUGUCUCAA
Molecule: signal recognition particle RNA, 148 nt
Filed under: Nomascus leucogenys (northern white-cheeked gibbon)
Lineage: Eukaryota; Metazoa; Chordata; Mammalia; Primates; Hylobatidae
Description: Metazoan signal recognition particle RNA
Rfam family: Metazoan signal recognition particle RNA
About the family: The signal recognition particle (SRP) is a universally conserved ribonucleoprotein. It is involved in the co-translational targeting of proteins to membranes.
Source: Rfam by way of RNAcentral